This 440-nucleotide ribosomal RNA is filed under the name uncultured soil bacterium. RNAcentral's name for it is "bacterial SSU rRNA". It matches the Rfam family "Bacterial small subunit ribosomal RNA", at positions 26 to 440 of the family's 1533-position model. The record is from RNAcentral.
AGAUUGAACGCUGGCGGCAUGCCUAACACAUGCAAGUCGAACGGCAGCGCGGGUAGCAAUACCUGGCGGCGAGUGGCGGACGGGUGAGGAAUACAUAGGAAUCUACCCUGUCGUGGGGGAUAACGUAGGGAAACUUACGCUAAAUACCGCAUACGACCGAGAGGUGAAAGCGGCGGACCGCAAGGCGUCGCGCGGCUGGAUGAGCCUAUGUCCGAUUAGCUAGUUGGCGGGGUAAGAGCCCACCAAGGCGACGAUCGGUAGCUGGUCUGAGAGGAUGAUCAGCCACACUGGGACUGGAGACAGGCCCAGACUCCUACGGGAGGCAGCGAGUGGGGAAUAAUUGGACAAAUGGGCGCAAAGGCCCUGGAUCCCGAGCCGAAAUCGGCCGCGGUAGUGUCGAAAAGGAACGGGCCUUCGGGUUAGUAAAGUACACCGUUUUU